Molecule: ribosomal RNA, 441 nt
Filed under: uncultured bacterium
Lineage: Bacteria
Description: partial 16S ribosomal RNA
Rfam family: Bacterial small subunit ribosomal RNA
Source: RNAcentral
CCUACGGGUGGCAGCAGUGGGGAAUAUUGGGCAAUGGGCGCAAGCCUGACCCAGCAACGCCGCGUGAAGGAUGAAGGUUUUCGGAUUGUAAACUUCUGUCGCGAGGGACGAAGAAUGACGGUACCUCGUAAGAAAGCACCGGCUAACUACGUGCCAGCAGCCGCGGUAAUACGCAGGGGGCAAGCGUUGUCCGGAAUGACUGGGCGUAAAGGGAGUGUAGGCGGCUCAUCAAGUUAGAUGUGAAAUCCCGCGGCUUAACCGCGGAACUGCAUCUGAAACUGGUAGGCUUGAGUGCAGGAGAGGGGGGUGGAAUUCCUGGUGUAGCGGUGGAAUGCGUAGAUAUUAGGAGGAACACCGGGGGCGAAGGCGACUCACUGGACUGUGACUGACGCUGAGGCUCGAAAGCGUGGGGAGCAAACAGGAUUAGAUACCCUUGUAGUC